Molecule: transfer RNA, 74 nt
Filed under: Cercophora newfieldiana
Lineage: Eukaryota; Fungi; Ascomycota; Sordariomycetes; Sordariales; Lasiosphaeriaceae
Description: tRNA-Val
Source: RNAcentral
GGUUGGACGGUGUAGUUGGUUAUCACGUAUGCUUCACACGCAUAAGGUCCCCGGUUCGAGCCCGGGUUCGAUCA